Argiope bruennichi is the source of this 2322-nucleotide long non-coding RNA. RefSeq lists it as uncharacterized. The record is from RefSeq and is a predicted model, not a curated record. The transcript has 3 exons. NCBI's taxonomy places the organism in Eukaryota, Metazoa, Arthropoda, Arachnida, Araneae, Araneidae.
GCUUUAGCCACCUGUCUGGGUAAUUUUCCUACCGGGAGUUGGGUUCGUAGUGCCGAGAUUAUCACAAUUAUGAAACAACCGCAAUUCUAAAUUCUGCAAGCUGCAUCUACCAGAUUCCGGAUCUGGUGCUUACAGAUACAUUACUGAAAAGAUUGCACUUAAAAGCUUUAUGUGAAAGAAUGCAACCACCGAAUCAUUUGUUGAAUUCCAAUAUUGUGUUGUCACGAACCUAAUGACAUGCUAAUGAGAAAAGCUGAUAAAUCAUCACAUCUUUCGGAAUAAGAGUGGCAAUAAUAAGAAAGGCUUGACUUUUCUACGACUCACAAUUCCAACUUCAAUAUACAACAUAUCUCGAUGGAAUCGGGAACCAGGAAAUAAGAAAUUCCCUAAUACAUAUGUUUAGAAAAUGUUAAUCAUACCAUACUUUUUAUUACUUAUUAGUGCAUAUGUGCGAGUAUUGUUACUCACAUACAAAAAAAAGGAAUUUUGUUCUUAUGACCCCUGUUAUAAAACAUUCUUCCAAAAAUGACAUUCAAAGUUGUCAUUUUUGAUUCAUUUAAUGAAGAAACGUCAUUUUUGCCAAAUAUGGUGAAAGACAUUUAAAUUGUAUUCAUCCUCAAAAUUUUACCUGGAAACUGGAAUUGAAGAGAUGUCGCGUGCUACUAAUAUGCAGAAAGAAGUGUUUUAAAAACGCAAUUUUCUCAUUGACCAUUUAAUGGAGAAACCAUAUGAUUACAAAUUUUGUCAUCUUUUCUCAUCUCCGGAAUUGAAAGAAUCGUUUACUGGUGCAUACUAAAGAGAAACCAGAUACAUGUGACAUUUGUAAUAAAGCAUUUUUUCGACGGUCACAUUUAAAAAUUCAUGUAAUGUCGCGUAGGAAUGAGAAAUCUUACCCUUGCAAUAUUUGCAACAAAGGCUUUUCUAUGUUAUGGACUUUAAAAAGACAUUCACGGCUGCAUUUCGGAGAGAAACCGUAUAUAUGUGAAAUCUGUAAAAGAGCUUUUUCGGAUAAGGAUAAUUUGAAAGGACAUCUAAUUACACAUACGGGAGAGAAACCGUAUAAAUGUGAAAUUUGUAACAAACCCUUUGCGAAAACGGGACAUUUAAAAGUACAUUUGCGUCUGCAUACGGGAGAAAAACCAUACGCCUGCGAGUGUUGCGAGAAAGCCUUUCCCACCAACCGGCAACUAAAAGUACAUAUGGAUGUGCAUACACGAGAGAAACCCUUUAAAUGCGAGUUUUGUAAAGAAGCCUUUAUUCGUAAAAGUCGUUUAAAAGUACAUUUACUUAUUCAUACCGGUGAGAAACCGUAUGCAUGUGGAUUUUGUAACAAACUAUUUCCGGAUGAAAGGCAUUGCAAAAAUCAUUUGCGUAUCCAUACGAAAAAAAAUACGGACGCAUGCGAAAAAGACCCUCGCACGCAUGCGACUUCUGUAAUAUAAAAUAUUCUCAUUUCAUUUCUUUGAAGAAACAUUUGUCGAAGCAUAUCAUAGAAAAUGAAUGAAGUGUACUCCUCUGAUGUUCAAUAAAGCGCUUAUUAAUGGGAGAACUUCACCACAUCUUAAACAGAGAAAGACUUUAAUAAUGAUUUUGUAGUAAGUUCAUGUUUCAAAAAACAAGGACCAAAUAUAUUUAUUAUUUUACUUAAACAUGUUGAAAUAAUCUCUUUUAGGAAUUCUAUUUUUAUUUUACACGGCGUAUAAUGCAUAUUCAUUGUUAUUUUACAAGGUAAUUCGUAUACUUAAGUGAAUGUUCCAACUUUGAAGGAAUAUUCAAGAAAACAAAACUAAGUGUAAUCUUGUUGUUCAUAUGAAAUUGCAAAAAGUAGUUGAAAAUAUUAAGAUUAAUUUAUAAAUGUUUAUUAGAAGCUCCUCCAAAAAAAUCGAACAUUUUCAAGACGAUACGAUAACUCAUUCAAUAACCUUUCAGUUUCUCCAAUAUCGAGCUUUGAAAACCUGCAGAUAUGCAUGUUUGAAGUUUAUCACUGUCAGUGCAGUUUGUUGUAGCCCCAGAUUAGUUUAUUAAUGUAAAUAGGUUUUAUACGCUUACGUUAAAAUGUUUCCAAUAAAAAUGUGCAUUUUAUUGAAAAGAAUUGUAAAUUAAAGUACUUCCCUCUUAUUUUUGUGUGUGCCUAUAACUUGUAUAAGUUUUCUUCUGUGACAGUUUGCACCUUCUUAAAGUUUCAAAGCUGUGAUUUAUUAAGAGAAAUGUAAAAUCUAAUAUUCAGAUGUAUGACUUUGUAUGGAAGAGUUUCAAUUAUGGAAUUUAUCUAACUUGUUUUACUGCUUCAACUGUGCUUCUUAUGUUAAACCAUUUUGUAUU